UAGGGAAUCUUCCGCAAUGGACGCAAGUCUGACGGAGCAACGCCGCGUGAGUGAAGAAGGAUUUCGGUUCGUAAAACUCUGUUGUUAGAGAAGAACAGCGCAUAGAGUAACUGUUAUGCGUGUGACGGUAUCUAACCAGAAAGCCACGGCUAACUACGUGCCAGCAGCCGCGGUAAUACGUAGGUGGCAAGCGUUGUCCGGAUUUAUUGGGCGUAAAGCGAGCGCAGGCGGUCAAUUAAGUCUGAUGUGAAAGCCCCCGGCUCAACCGGGGAGGGUCAUUGGAAACUGGUUGACUUGAGUGCAGAGGAGGAGAGUGGAAUUCCAGGUGUAGCGGUGAAAUGCGUAGAUAUAUGGAGGAAAACCGGUGGCGAAGGCGACUCUCUGGUCUGUAACUGACGCUGAGGCUCGAAAGCGUGGGUAGCAAACAGG
This 429-nucleotide ribosomal RNA is filed under the name Bacteroidota bacterium. RNAcentral's name for it is "Bacteroidetes bacterium partial 16S ribosomal RNA". It matches the Rfam family "Bacterial small subunit ribosomal RNA", at positions 355 to 776 of the family's 1533-position model. Lineage: Bacteria; Pseudomonadati; Bacteroidota. The record is from RNAcentral.